RNAcentral lists this ribosomal RNA (437 nucleotides) under uncultured Oscillospiraceae bacterium. Its description in RNAcentral is "bacterial SSU rRNA". It matches the Rfam family "Bacterial small subunit ribosomal RNA", at positions 341 to 792 of the family's 1533-position model. Lineage: Bacteria; Bacillati; Bacillota; Clostridia; Eubacteriales; Oscillospiraceae. The record is from RNAcentral.
ACGGGAGGCAGCAGUGGGGAAUAUUGGGCAAUGGGCGAAAGCCUGACCCAGCAACGCCGCGUGAAGGAAGAAGGUCUUCGGACUGUAAACUUCUUUUAUGAGGGUCGAAGGACGUGACGGUACCUCAUGAAUAAGCCACGGCUAACUACGUGCCAGCAGCCGCGGUAAUACGUAGGUGGCAAGCGUUAUCCGGAUUUACUGGGUGUAAAGGGCGCGUAGGCGGGGAUGCAAGUCAGAUGUGAAAUCCAUGGGCUUAACUCAUGAACUGCAUUUGAAACUGUAUCUCUUGAGUGCUGGAGAGGUAGAUGGAGUUCCUUGUGUAGCGGUGAAAUGCGUAGAUAUAAGGAAGAACACCAGUGGCGAAGGCGAUCUACUGGACAGAAACUGACGCUGAGGCGCGAAAGCGUGGGGAGCAAACAGGAUUAGAUACCCAGGUA